CUUUUCUUGUUUUUAUUUGAAAUAUAACCUGCCCAUUGAUAAUAAUUUUUAACGGSCGCGGUAUUUUGACUGUGCAAAGGUAGCAUAAUCAUUAGUCUUUUAAUUGGAGGCUGGAAUGAAUGGUUGAACAAAAUGUUUACUGUCUUAUAUUUAUUCAAUUUAUAUUAGAAUUUAAUUAUUAUGUUAAAAGGCUUAAAUUUUUUUUUGGGACGAUAAGACCCUAUAGAGUUUAAUAAUAGUUAAUAUGUUUUUUGUUAGUUAUUUAAUUUCAUUUUAUUUAUUUUUUGAUUGGGGUGAUUUUUAGAUAUGUAUAACUCUUUAAUUUAUUUAUAUACUUAUUUGUUUAUUAAUAUGAUCCAUAAAUUUAUGAUUAAAAGGCUAAAUUACCUUAGGGAUAACAGCGUAAUUUUAUUUGAGAGUUCUUAUUGACAAUAAAGAUUGCGACCUCGAUGUUGGAUUAAGGUAAUAAUAUUGGGUGUAGUAGCUUAAAUAAUUAAGUCUGUUCGACUUUUAAAUCCUUACA
RNAcentral lists this ribosomal RNA (523 nucleotides) under Isoldaia sp. MNHN PG21. RNAcentral's name for it is "partial 16S ribosomal RNA". The stretch from base 394 to 523 matches the Rfam family "Bacterial large subunit ribosomal RNA", at positions 2473 to 2600 of the family's 2925-position model. Lineage: Eukaryota; Metazoa; Arthropoda; Insecta; Blattodea; Pseudophyllodromiidae. The record is from RNAcentral.